UGAGUUGGCCGCUAGGGUUCCGGUCUUGCAAGCAGCAAGACGCUGGUCCGAGAGCAGCCGCUUGCGGGGGAGACAUCCCCGCAGGUGCACGGCGGGACAAAAGCCCGGGAGAC
Molecule: small RNA, 113 nt
Rfam family: Guanidine-I riboswitch aptamer
About the family: This family represents a conserved RNA structure found upstream of the ykkC and yxkD genes in Bacillus subtilis and related genes in other bacteria. The function of this family is unclear although it has been suggested that it may function to switch on efflux pumps and detoxification systems in response to harmful environmental molecules.